RNAcentral lists this ribosomal RNA (468 nucleotides) under uncultured bacterium. Its description in RNAcentral is "partial 16S ribosomal RNA". It matches the Rfam family "Bacterial small subunit ribosomal RNA", at positions 28 to 507 of the family's 1533-position model. The record is from RNAcentral.
GACGAACGCUGGCGGCGUGCUUAACACAUGCAAGUCGAACGGAAAGGCCCUGCUUUUGUUGGGUGCUCGAGUGGCGAACGGGUGAGUAAAACGCGAGUAACCUGCCCCUGACAUUGGGAUAACUUUAGGAAAAUGGGGCUAAUAUCGGGUAGAAGCUCUUGCAGCAUGGUGGGGGUUGGAAAGUUUCGGCGGUUGGGGCACGUCUAGCGGUUUCUCAGCUUGUUGGUGAGGUAGUGGCUUACCAAGGCUUUGAAGGGUAGCCUGCCUGAGAGGGUGGCCGGCCACAUUGGGACUGAGAUACGGACCAGACUCCUACGGGAGGCAGCAGUGGGGAAUAUUGCACAGUGGGCGGAAGCCUGAUGCAGCAACGCCGCGUGCGGGAUGACGGCCUUCGGGUUAUAAACCGCUGUCGCCGGUGACGAAGCGUGAGUGACGGUAAUGGGUAAAGAAGCACCGGCUAACUACGUG